This 69-nucleotide transfer RNA is filed under the name Marmota monax (woodchuck). RNAcentral describes it as "tRNA.Ala". Lineage: Eukaryota; Metazoa; Chordata; Mammalia; Rodentia; Sciuridae. The record is from RNAcentral.
GGGUGUGGCUCAGUGAUAUAGUGCUCAACUGGCAUGCGUGAGGCACUGGGUUCAAUCCUCAGCACCACA